AGAGUUUGAUCAUGGCUCAGGACGAACGCUGGCGGCGUGCCUAACACAUGCAAGUCAACGAGAAAGGGGUAGCAAUAUCCCGAGUAAAGUGGCGCACGGGUGAGUAACGCGUAGGCAAUUUGCCUUCAGGACGGGGAUAAUUCAUCGAAAGGUGGACUAAUACCCGAUUAUGCAUCGGAAUCGCCUGGUUCUGAUGUUAAAUGCCCGCAAGGGUGCCUGUUGAUGAGCCUGCGUCCCAUUAGGUAGUUGGCGGGGUAACAGCCCACCAAGCCGACGAUGGGUAGCUGGUCUGAGAGGAUGAUCAGCCACACUGGAACUGAGACAUGGUCCAGACUCCUACGGGAGGCAGCAGUGAGGAAUAUUGCGCAAUGGCCGAAAGGCUGACGCAGCGACGCCGCGUGAGGGAUGAAGUCCGUUAGGAUGUAAACCUCUUUUGCAGGGGAUGAAAAACCGCUUUCGGGCGGAAUUGACCGUACCCUGCGAAUAAGGAUCGGCCAACUACGUGCCAGCAGCCGCGGUAAUACGUAGGAUCCGAGCGUUGUCCGGAAUUACUGGGUGUAAAGGGCGUGUAGGUGGGUCUUUAAGUCGGGGGUGAAAUCCUGCGGCUUAACUGCAGAACUGCUUCCGAUACUGAAGAUCUUGAGUACGGCAGAGGGAGAUGGAAUUCAUGGUGUAGCGGUGAAAUGUGUAGAUAUCAUGUAGAACACCGGUAGCGAAGGC
Molecule: ribosomal RNA, 720 nt
Filed under: uncultured bacterium
Lineage: Bacteria
Description: bacterial SSU rRNA
Rfam family: Bacterial small subunit ribosomal RNA
Source: RNAcentral